This 253-nucleotide ribosomal RNA is filed under the name uncultured bacterium. RNAcentral describes it as "partial 16S ribosomal RNA". It matches the Rfam family "Bacterial small subunit ribosomal RNA", at positions 524 to 776 of the family's 1533-position model. The record is from RNAcentral.
UACGUAGGGUGCAAGCGUUGUCCGGAAUUAUUGGGCGUAAAGAGCUCGUAGGUGGCCUGUCGCGUCGGCUGUGAAAACUCGGGGCUCAACUCCGAGCUUGCAGUCGAUACGGGCAGGCUAGAGUUCGGCAGGGGAGACUGGAAUUCCUGGUGUAGCGGUGAAAUGCGCAGAUAUCAGGAGGAACACCGAUGGCGAAGGCAGCUGCCUGGCCUAGAACUGACGCUGAGGUGCGAAAGCGUGGGGAGCGAACAGG